This 219-nucleotide unclassified non-coding RNA is filed under the name Hevea brasiliensis (rubber tree). The record is from RNAcentral. Lineage: Eukaryota; Viridiplantae; Streptophyta; Magnoliopsida; Malpighiales; Euphorbiaceae.
GUUCUUUCAUUAUCUUUAACAUGUUCACCUCAGCUAACUUAUACCUCUCAGCUGACCAUCUGUCAAUGGAGUUUUUGAGGACUUUGUUUUUCUUCUGCUUGCAAGCUACAAUUUGAUUAUUCUUUUCACGUUUUGGCCUUUUGUUAUUAUUCUGGGUGUUGCAGAUGGACCCAUGAUGCUUUCUCUUGCUAUUCGUCUUGGUGUCCUGUGAUUUACCAG